UUAACACCAAGGCCCCUCGCCUGCAGCUGGAGGCAGCUCUCUGCUCAGCCUACAGUGCAGAAUGACACAGGCAGGCGACAUCAUCACUGAGCACCAACUUCUCUUACAUGGAGGCGGAGGGUGAAAUCCAUUCAGAACCGUGGCAAGGCGUGAGAGAGGCAAAGGGGUAGCUGCAAAGUUUUGGAUAAGAUGUCUGCAGGCAACUGGAAGCAGAGUGUACCCAGGUGGAGCCUAAACUCGUAAGGAUCUUUCCUUCAGGAAAGCUGAUCAUACUGGAUCUGGGCAAUGACGCAAGUGCACUGAAUUACCUAAGAGGCACACAUCUCUGAACAGAGAGGCACGGAUGCACACCAGGAACCCAUUUUUUUAGAAACUGCCUUGCAGAACUGAUACUUUAAAUAUAAUGCUUUCUUUGAGGUGCCAAGUCACCUGUGGUUGUUGAUUCACACUGGAGCACACCACAAGAAAAAGGUCAGAGAACAUGUUGACUUCACAGGAACUGGACUUGACAGGAUUUCUUUGGAAUCAGUAAUUCCGCUGUGGGACUCCCAAAACUCCUGAUGCACCUCAGAUAUUUUAUUCAGUUUCUUCAGUAUAGAAUCUGAACUUUCUACAUUAGAUGCAUUUGAUUUCCUGCUUGUGGGCUUGUUUCUUACUCCUCCACUGUUUUGGAUUUUUUCAGUUUGAUUUCCCUCUGGAAUUCUAUCAGUCCUAUUUGCUUCUUCCUGGUAACAGCACAUGUGUUUCAGGCUGUGUUUACCUGUGUUCUGCCUAAAGAGUAAAUGCUUUGCCAACUCCCAAUUUCAAUAACUUAUUGAAGUUUCUGAUAUGCAUUUCUCUUACAAGUCACUACUAGUUUUUAAAUAUUUUGCUUUUCCUUUUUUACUUUUUUAAAAAAGAGGAUAACUAUGCUUGCACAAACGCAUUACUUGGGAGAAUAUUUUAAAAUGUUUAAAACCUAUAUAAUUUUAAAAUUUUAAAAACAAUUUGCAUUUAUAAUUUACAUUUAUUUGAUGCAUCUACUUGCAUGUAAUAAAGGUAAAUAAUUAGUAAUUACCUUGCAUUUUGGGACUUAACUCCAAAUAACAAAAUUAUAUUUUAAGCAUGUCUGGUAUUU
Long non-coding RNA from Chinchilla lanigera (long-tailed chinchilla), 1117 nucleotides. RefSeq lists it as uncharacterized. The record is from RefSeq and is a predicted model, not a curated record. The transcript has 4 exons. NCBI's taxonomy places the organism in Eukaryota, Metazoa, Chordata, Mammalia, Rodentia, Chinchillidae.